AUGCCAUUUGGUAUGUUUGUAGGAGUUAGUAACCACUUUGAGAGUGUAAUCUUCGCUGGAGUAUUCUUGACUAAUGAGAAGGAAGAGAAUUUCCGUUGGGCUUUUAAGCAAUUUGUUGCUAUGAUGGGUGGGAAACCACCAGUUACUAUUCUUACAGAUCAGGCUAGGGCCAUUGGAAAUGCAGUCAUGGCAGAGCUUCCUAAUGCAACACAUAGAUGGUGCAAAUGGCACGUUCUGAAGAGGGCUCAUGAACUUCUUGGUGUUGUUUACAGAAAUCACAAAACCUUUGCUGAUGAUUUCCAUAAGCUAGUAAAUCACAUGCUAACAAUACAGGAGUUUGAAGAUGCAUGGAAUUUUGUUACGUACACUAAACUGAUAGACGAUCGGGAGAGUUGUGACGCAGAAGCUGAAAGGAAGAACAAACAGAAAAUAUUAAAGGUCCAUUUUGGAUAUCCCAUGGAGAAGCAUGCUUCUGUUAUCUAUACACCAAAGGUUUAUAAUCUAUUCAAGAAGGAGCUCAUUAAGUCUACAUCAUACCUUGUGCUUCCUAGCCAUGAGGAACAUACUUUUGUUGUGAAGCACGUCCAGGCCGAGUCUAGGGAAUUGUGGUCUAAAGUAAUUUACAAAAUCAAAGUAGAUGAGUCAAUUGGAUAUUACACAUGUGAAUGUGGACUUGACGAACAUUUUGGUGUUCUUUGUAGCCACGUCCUAGCGAUUUUUGUGAACCGAGGUGUCUGCAAAAUUCCAGAUUGUCACAUAAUGAAGCGGUGGACAAAGCAAGCUAGGUCAUCUACUUUCAGCAACAAGUUGGAGAAAUAUAUCGGCGACACUAACGAGGAAUCGAGAUCAUUUAGGCACCAGCUAUUAUAUUUCGCGGCAAUAAAUAUAGUUAAUGAAGCUGAGAUCGAUCCAGAUGCAUUUGCAAUUGCAAAGUCUAAUUUUACUCGUUGCAAGAAGGAAUUACAGGAGCACAGACUUUCAAAGACAACUACAUGCCAGGUAGGAUAUGGAUCAAUGCCUGAAGAUGAAGUAAGUACACAUUCUGGUGUUCAACUGGAAGGCAAUGAAGUUAGUGAAUCAUGUGUUCAAAUAGUUGAUACCACAAAAAACAUUACUAUUCCAGUUUCUUCAAUUCUUGCACCUGCUAUAAUGAAGAGGAAUGGUAGACCUUCCAAUAAAAGGUACAUGUCUAGCAUGGAAGCAAACAUCAAGAAGAAGAAACGUGGGAAAAAACCAGACCCAAAGAGCAAACAAGCUGGUGGUGUGAUGGGUGUUGUCCAGUCCAGGUUUUGCAGCAAAUGUCGAUCGCCAACACACACUAUCAAAGAUUGCCCGCAGCUCUAUUUACCUUAA
Molecule: ribosomal RNA, 1353 nt
Filed under: Triticum aestivum (bread wheat)
Lineage: Eukaryota; Viridiplantae; Streptophyta; Magnoliopsida; Poales; Poaceae
Description: partial small subunit ribosomal RNA
Source: RNAcentral